This 2529-nucleotide ribosomal RNA is filed under the name Escherichia coli. Its description in RNAcentral is "partial 23S ribosomal RNA". It matches the Rfam family "Bacterial large subunit ribosomal RNA", at positions 409 to 2915 of the family's 2925-position model. Lineage: Bacteria; Pseudomonadati; Pseudomonadota; Gammaproteobacteria; Enterobacterales; Enterobacteriaceae. The record is from RNAcentral.
UGAGUAGGGCGGGACACGUGGUAUCCUGUCUGAAUAUGGGGGGACCAUCCUCCAAGGCUAAAUACUCCUGACUGACCGAUAGUGAACCAGUACCGUGAGGGAAAGGCGAAAAGAACCCCGGCGAGGGGAGUGAAAAAGAACCUGAAACCGUGUACGUACAAGCAGUGGGAGCCUCUUUUAUGGGGUGACUGCGUACCUUUUGUAUAAUGGGUCAGCGACUUAUAUUCUGUAGCAAGGUUAACCGAAUAGGGGAGCCGAAGGGAAACCGAGUCUUAACUGGGCGUUAAGUUGCAGGGUAUAGACCCGAAACCCGGUGAUCUAGCCAUGGGCAGGUUGAAGGUUGGGUAACACUAACUGGAGGACCGAACCGACUAAUGUUGAAAAAUUAGCGGAUGACUUGUGGCUGGGGGUGAAAGGCCAAUCAAACCGGGAGAUAGCUGGUUCUCCCCGAAAGCUAUUUAGGUAGCGCCUCGUGAAUUCAUCUCCGGGGGUAGAGCACUGUUUCGGCAAGGGGGUCAUCCCGACUUACCAACCCGAUGCAAACUGCGAAUACCGGAGAAUGUUAUCACGGGAGACACACGGCGGGUGCUAACGUCCGUCGUGAAGAGGGAAACAACCCAGACCGCCAGCUAAGGUCCCAAAGUCAUGGUUAAGUGGGAAACGAUGUGGGAAGGCCCAGACAGCCAGGAUGUUGGCUUAGAAGCAGCCAUCAUUUAAAGAAAGCGUAAUAGCUCACUGGUCGAGUCGGCCUGCGCGGAAGAUGUAACGGGGCUAAACCAUGCACCGAAGCUGCGGCAGCGACGCUUAUGCGUUGUUGGGUAGGGGAGCGUUCUGUAAGCCUGUGAAGGUGUACUGUGAGGUAUGCUGGAGGUAUCAGAAGUGCGAAUGCUGACAUAAGUAACGAUAAAGCGGGUGAAAAGCCCGCUCGCCGGAAGACCAAGGGUUCCUGUCCAACGUUAAUCGGGGCAGGGUGAGUCGACCCCUAAGGCGAGGCCGAAAGGCGUAGUCGAUGGGAAACAGGUUAAUAUUCCUGUACUUGGUGUUACUGCGAAGGGGGGACGGAGAAGGCUAUGUUGGCCGGGCGACGGUUGUCCCGGUUUAAGCGUGUAGGCUGGUUUUCCAGGCAAAUCCGGAAAAUCAAGGCUGAGGCGUGAUGACGAGGCACUACGGUGCUGAAGCAACAAAUGCCCUGCUUCCAGGAAAAGCCUCUAAGCAUCAGGUAACAUCAAAUCGUACCCCAAACCGACACAGGUGGUCAGGUAGAGAAUACCAAGGCGCUUGAGAGAACUCGGGUGAAGGAACUAGGCAAAAUGGUGCCGUAACUUCGGGAGAAGGCACGCUGAUAUGUAGGUGAAGCGACUUGCUCGUGGAGCUGAAAUCAGUCGAAGAUACCAGCUGGCUGCAACUGUUUAUUAAAAACACAGCACUGUGCAAACACGAAAGUGGACGUAUACGGUGUGACGCCUGCCCGGUGCCGGAAGGUUAAUUGAUGGGGUUAGCGGUAACGCGAAGCUCUUGAUCGAAGCCCCGGUAAACGGCGGCCGUAACUAUAACGGUCCUAAGGUAGCGAAAUUCCUUGUCGGGUAAGUUCCGACCUGCACGAAUGGCGUAAUGAUGGCCAGGCUGUCUCCACCCGAGACUCAGUGAAAUUGAACUCGCUGUGAAGAUGCAGUGUACCCGCGGCAAGACGGAAAGACCCCGUGAACCUUUACUAUAGCUUGACACUGAACAUUGAGCCUUGAUGUGUAGGAUAGGUGGGAGGCUUUGAAGUGUGGACGCCAGUCUGCAUGGAGCCGGCCUUGAAAUACCACCCUUUAAUGUUUGAUGUUCUAACGUUGGCCCCUGAUCGGGGUUGCGGACAGUGUCUGGUGGGUAGUUUGACUGGGGCGGUCUCCUCCUAAAGAGUAACGGAGGAGCACGAAGGUUGGCUAAUCCUGGUCGGACAUCAGGAGGUUAGUGCAAUGGCAUAAGCCAGCUUGACUGCGAGCGUGACGGCGCGAGCAGGUGCGAAAGCAGGUCAUAGUGAUCCGGUGGUUCUGAAUGGAAGGGCCAUCGCUCAACGGAUAAAAGGUACUCCGGGGAUAACAGGCUGAUACCGCCCAAGAGUUCAUAUCGACGGCGGUGUUUGGCACCUCGAUGUCGGCUCAUCACAUCCUGGGGCUGAAGUAGGUCCCAAGGGUAUGGCUGUUCGCCAUUUAAAGUGGUACGCGAGCUGGGUUUAGAACGUCGUGAGACAGUUCGGUCCCUAUCUGCCGUGGGCGCUGGAGAACUGAGGGGGGCUGCUCCUAGUACGAGAGGACCGGAGUGGACGCAUCACUGGUGUUCGGGUUGUCAUGCCAAUGGCACUGCCCGGUAGCUAAAUGCGGAAGAGAUAAGUGCUGAAAGCAUCUAAGCACGAAACUUGCCCCGAGAUGAGUUCUCCCUGAGACUUUAAGUCUCCUGAAGGAACGUUGAAGACGACGACGUUGAUAGGCCGGGUGUGUAAGCGCAGCGAUGCGUUGAGCUAACCGGUACUAAUGAACCGUGAGG